This 253-nucleotide ribosomal RNA is filed under the name uncultured bacterium. RNAcentral's name for it is "partial 16S ribosomal RNA". It matches the Rfam family "Bacterial small subunit ribosomal RNA", at positions 524 to 776 of the family's 1533-position model. The record is from RNAcentral.
UACGUAGGGUGCAAGCGUUGUCCGGAAUUAUUGGGCGUAAAGAGCUCGUAGGCGGUUUGUCGCGUCGGCUGUGAAAACUCGGGGCUCAACCCCGAGCCUGCAGUCGAUACGGGCAGACUAGAGUGCGGUAGGGGAGACUGGAAUUCCUGGUGUAGCGGUGAAAUGCGCAGAUAUCAGGAGGAACACCGGUGGCGAAGGCGGGUCUCUGGGCCGAUAUUGACGCUGAGGAGCGAAAGCAUGGGGAGCGAACAGG